Uloborus diversus is the source of this 323-nucleotide long non-coding RNA. RefSeq lists it as uncharacterized. Lineage: Eukaryota; Metazoa; Arthropoda; Arachnida; Araneae; Uloboridae. The transcript is spliced from 2 exons. The record is from RefSeq and is a predicted model, not a curated record.
CCUGACAAUGAUGGAAUCCGGGAAUGCCCAGUUCUACCCUGGAAGCUACCCCGGAGGAGUCGGAAACUACCCUGGAAAUCGCUAUCCUGGUGGCAUCGGGGGGAACAUAGGUGGCAUUUACCCUGGCAACCGUUACCCUGGUGGAGGUGGCAUUUACCCCCGGUACGGGUAAGCUGGAAUGACCUCAAAGACAGAAUGUCCUCCAUCGCAGAAGGAUUCAGGAACUCUGGGGCCUCCUGGAAAAUCAACAGGUGAUUCAAGCAACGCUUAACAAGGACAUUUGCUUUUCUGUCUAGUUGCGGACUAAUAAAUAUAUUGUGUUU